This is a long non-coding RNA of Calidris pugnax (ruff), 277 nucleotides long. RefSeq lists it as uncharacterized. NCBI's taxonomy places the organism in Eukaryota, Metazoa, Chordata, Aves, Charadriiformes, Scolopacidae. The transcript has 3 exons. The record is from RefSeq and is a predicted model, not a curated record.
AUUGGUUUGGACAAAAAGUUCUUGUAAGACUGAGAGUAGUCUAUUUUUUCCUUUUUCUCCAGUCAGUAAGUACCUUCUUCAAGUAAUUCAUCUUCCAGAACCAAGAGGAUUUAAAUGAUUAGGAUGAGAAAAAUGAAGUAUGGAAAAAAGGGAGUUGCUUGGCUACUGUCACUGAAGGCCACUUCGAAUUUCAUUUUCCUUUGAUUAGUCCUGAAGUAUGCUGUUCCUUCUUUUAAAUAGAAGAAAGUAAAGGAUGAUGCUGCCACACCAGAUCAAG